AAUAAGGCUUUUGAAGGACUACAGGUACACUAAUAACAAAGCAAUGCAACAAGAGUAAACAGAACUAUUAUCACUUUUGCCUUUCUUCUACAAGAAUGUUUUUAUAUCCAUUUCUAUUCUCUUUAGACAUUUGUCAACAAAAAUUCCUGAUGUUUUGAUGAGCUGUGAAAAAGUGAAUGGGCUUUGUGAAAUUUUCUCUUGCAUUACCACUUCCAAUUUGCUUCAGAACUUUGUUCACCUCUGUCUGUAGAAAAAAAAAAAAAAAGGCCCUAGUUAUCAAAAAUAUGCUAAUAUUUAUAAAUGAAUUUGUGAAAGUAAGUGUCUGGUACUGAAUUCCUGGAAAUUGCUUCUUUUUGCCCUCCAAAUACAUUACUCCUCCACUUGCCAGGAUUCAAUAGCACUUAAUGUUGGCUGGUAUGUUGUGAUCUCUUGGUUUAAUCAUAACAAGACUUCCAGUAAGCUGAUCUACUGAGUAUACUUAUGAGAGAUGCAAUCUUUCUCUGAGACAAGAAGAUGUACCAGCCAAAGGCUGUUGUACCAGACAAAAAUAUUAUGAAUGCUUAAUGCAGUACACUUUCUUGAUGACAAGGAAGAAGAAAGGUUCACUUCUGAUGAAAAUUAAACACUGUUAUGCUGGGGAUUUGUUUAAUUUCUGUUUGGCUUUCUCAAAUUCAGGGACACCAAAAAAAGAAAGUAAAGCAUCAUUUGUUGUAUCAACAGAACACCCAUUGGCUUUUAUAAUGACUAUAUCGGCCAAUGAUGAGUGUUACAAGUUGAUGAAGCAAGUAGCCACCAAGAAUUACAGUGAAAAUGUCAGAAAUGUCUCUGAAGUCAUAGGUCUUUAGGGUGAUUCACACUCCCUCAGCACAUUCAUAUGCAUACAGCUUCAGAAAAGAAGUAUUAACAGUAACUAUGAGGAAAGAAGAUGCUGGAAGUAACAGGCUGUUCAGGUUGUUUUGUAAUUGUACAUUUAAUUAACAGUUACAUUCUCUACCUGUGGAAAUAUGAAUACCCUGGGAAAAAUAAUCCUCUCUAUCUCAUCUUGGUGCAAGGGAAAAGCUGAUUCAUUAGUUGCAGAGUUACAGCAUUCGUAUUACAGACAGGCACCUAGGAAAACUAAUUCUAGGUUCUCCUUAGCUUCCAUUUUCUGAUGAUCAAUAGACACCGGAAACCAUUCCUUUUGUAAUCUUUAAUAACAAGCAAGGAAAACAAUUGCCUCUCAAACACUCACACUGGGUUCCUAAGCAUCCACAACAAUAAGCAGUGCUGUUGAGACUCACCUUCUGCUUGUAAUUCACCCCAUAAGCCCCAGCCACAGCUGUGCAAUUGAACAGUUUAAUCAUGUGCACAAAUAGUUUGUUUCUUUAGAAAAGUUCUUUUAAAGCAUACACAGACAGAAAUGAACAGUGGGUUGCAGAAGUGGAAAUCAUUUUUUCUUUUUAUGAAAUCAGUGCUGUGAACCUUUGGAGACUUUUUUCUUGCACAUAAUUUUGUAUUUGCACGCUAGAAACAAUACAUUUUAAAAGACCUCAGGUGAAACCCUGCAUAAUGCUAAUCUGACUAAUAUAACAGUGUUAUAUAACCAUUUCAUGUGUCAAUAUGAAGUAAAUGUCUUUUUCUUUUAAUUCUUGCUAUGCUGUAAAUGUACAUUUUGUCUAUAAAAUAUUUUCCUAC
Molecule: long non-coding RNA, 1674 nt
Organism: Gallus gallus (chicken)
Lineage: Eukaryota; Metazoa; Chordata; Aves; Galliformes; Phasianidae
Source: Ensembl